AGAGAGAGAGAGAGAGUUGUAGUUGCUCUGAUGGGUAAUUUUAACUAUUAUUUUAAGAUAUGUAGUUGCUCUGAUUGAUUGUUCUUGAAAAAUAUAUUGCACUUUUUUUUUAAGAACUUUUGGCGAAAUUUUUUUAUGCUAAUUUCUCAUUGUAUACUUUUUCUAUCUUUAAAUCAAAAUUCAAAGAUAUCAAUCAAUGAAGAGAUAAACAGUCAUGAGAAAUGAGUUUUUUUGAAAAAAAAAAAUUGAAAAAAAGAUCAAAUUCAGAUUUAUGUCGGUUCCAUUAAAACAAUAUCAAUCAAUGAAGAGACAAAAUCUCACGCUUUUUGUUUAAAUUUUAAAAUAUAUUUUUAUUGUGUUGUUCUCCUUUUAACUCUAACUACUACUUUAAGAUAUAUGGUUGUUUUGAUGGAUUGUUCUUAAAUAAUAUAUAUUGCACUUUUGUUACGUACUGGUGAAAUUUGUUUUAUGGCAAUUUCUUAUUGCAUACUUUUCAUAUCUUUGAAUUUUGUGGCAAUUUCUUAUUGCAUACUUUUCCUAUCUUUAAAUCAAAAUUUAAAGAUAUGAAGAGAUAAAAGUCAUAAGGAAUAAGUGCUUUUGAAAAGUUUUGUUGAAAAAGAUAAAAUUAGGAAAAAAAAAUCAAUUUUUUUUAAAAAAAUAAUUUUUUAAAAAUCUCUUGAAAAGUUAGAAAUUUUUAACAGAUUUUAAAAAUAAAUUUUUUUUAAAAAAAUCAUAUUUUAAAUAAGGACUUGCUAACUAUGAGUGUGACAACCUUAGAGAGAGAAAGAGAUGAAGAAGUAGAUGAAGAGAUAGAGAGAGAGGCAUUGAUGUCGUAGAGUUGG
This 842-nucleotide long non-coding RNA is filed under the name Amborella trichopoda. RNAcentral's name for it is "long non-coding RNA (ATRI_LNC000905)". The record is from RNAcentral. Lineage: Eukaryota; Viridiplantae; Streptophyta; Magnoliopsida; Amborellales; Amborellaceae.